RNAcentral lists this transfer RNA (73 nucleotides) under Dipodomys ordii (Ord's kangaroo rat). It matches the Rfam family "tRNA". From Rfam's summary of the family: Transfer RNA (tRNA) molecules are approximately 80 nucleotides in length. Their secondary structure includes four short double-helical elements and three loops (D, anti-codon, and T loops). Further hydrogen bonds mediate the characteristic L-shaped molecular structure. tRNAs have two regions of fundamental functional importance: the anti-codon, which is responsible for specific mRNA codon recognition, and the 3' end, to which the tRNAs corresponding amino acid is attached (by aminoacyl-tRNA synthetases). tRNAs cope with the degeneracy of the genetic code in two manners: having more than one tRNA (with a specific anti-codon) for a particular amino acid; and 'wobble' base-pairing, i.e. permitting non-standard base-pairing at the 3rd anti-codon position. Lineage: Eukaryota; Metazoa; Chordata; Mammalia; Rodentia; Heteromyidae. The record is from Rfam by way of RNAcentral.
GGGAGUGUGGCUCAAGUGGUAGAGUGCCUGCCUAGCAAAUGUGAGGCCCUAAGUUCAAAUCUCAGUACUCCCC